CUUGACACUGAACAUUGAGCCUUGAUGUGUAGGAUAGGUGGGAGGCUUUGAAGCGUGGACGCCAGUCUGCGUGGAGCCGACCUUGAAAUACCACCCUUUAAUGUUUGAUGUUCUAACCUGGCGCCGUGAUCCGGCGUGGGGACAGUGUCUGGUGGGUAGUUUGACUGGGGCGGUCUCCUCCCAAAGUGUAACGGAGGAGCACGAAGGUCAGCUAAUCCUGGUCGGACAUCAGGAGGUUAGUGCAAUGGCAUAAGCUGGCUUGACUGCGAGAGUGACGGCUCGAGCAGGUGCGAAAGCAGGUCAUAGUGAUCCGGUGGUUCUGUGUGGAAGGGCCAUCGCUCAACGGAUAAAAGGUACUCCGGGGAUAACAGGCUGAUACCGCCCAAGAGUUCAUAUCGACGGCGGUGUUUGGCACCUCGAUGUCGGCUCAUCACAUCCUGGGG
Molecule: ribosomal RNA, 443 nt
Filed under: Cronobacter sakazakii
Lineage: Bacteria; Pseudomonadati; Pseudomonadota; Gammaproteobacteria; Enterobacterales; Enterobacteriaceae
Description: partial 23S ribosomal RNA
Rfam family: Bacterial large subunit ribosomal RNA
Source: RNAcentral